This is a long non-coding RNA of Daphnia pulicaria, 433 nucleotides long. RefSeq lists it as uncharacterized. The transcript is spliced from 2 exons. NCBI's taxonomy places the organism in Eukaryota, Metazoa, Arthropoda, Branchiopoda, Diplostraca, Daphniidae. The record is from RefSeq and is a predicted model, not a curated record.
GCGAUUUCGUACUUGAUAUAUUCGGCUAUUAUGGGCAUAACAGCAGAUGAUACGGGAGUAGUGGAGAUAUUAUUCGCCUGCGUUGGGGGAGCGCUGGGCUUUUACUUCUGGCUGGUGGUGCUCAGUUACUAUCAAGAACUGAAGGCUAAUGCAACGACGGAACAGUUACCAGACGAAAAAGCCACGGGACAGUUUCCACUUUGAUAAAAAAAAGUCACUCUUCAUUCAGUGCCAAAAUUGGGUAUGGAGGUUAAGAUUCAGAUUACGACGAUUACGUAAAUAUGCAUAGGCAUACGUUCUUUAAAUGUGACAGUGUUGUGCUUUUGGUAGUCUGAUUUUUCUUUCUUUUUUCCCCGAGAGGGAUUGGGUUGUAUCGUUGUGUAUUCAUUUUGAGUUGUUUGUUUCUCAAUAGAACUUUUUGUUUUAGCCUCAG